This 497-nucleotide ribosomal RNA is filed under the name uncultured bacterium. RNAcentral's name for it is "partial 16S ribosomal RNA". It matches the Rfam family "Bacterial small subunit ribosomal RNA", at positions 28 to 507 of the family's 1533-position model. The record is from RNAcentral.
GAUGAACGCUGGCGGCGUGCCUAAUACAUGCAAGUCGAGCGAACAGACGAGGAGCUUGCUCCUCUGACGUUAGCGGCGGACGGGUGAGCAACACGUGGAUAACCUACCUAUAAGACUGGGAUAACUUCGGGAAACCGGAGCUAAUACCGGAUAAUAUAUUGAACCGCAUGGUUCAAUAGUGAAAGACGGUUUUGCUGUCACUUAUAGAUGGAUCCGCGCCGCAUUAGCUAGUUGGUAAGGUAACGGCUUACCAAGGCAACGAUGCGUAGCCGACCUGAGGGGGUGAUCGGCCACACUGGAACUGAGACACGGUCCAGACUCCUACGGGAGGCAGCAGUAGGGAAUCUUCCGCAAUGGGCGAAAGCUUGACGGAGCAACGCCGCGUGAGUGAUGAAGGUCUUCGGAUCGUAAAACUCUGUUAUUAGGGAAGAACAAAUGUGUAAGUAACUAUGCACGUCUUGACGGUACCUAAUCAGAAAGCCACGGCUAACUACGUG